GGUGCUUGCGAGGUAAAUUGCUCAGUAAUCUAACUUCGAGCAUAAUUUCCAGAUUUUCUAAUUCAAGAUAGUUCAUCUUGAUAAGUUGGUUUAUGUCAUAGUUGAUUUAGCAAGAUAAUUAUUGAGUGCCUCCACUUAAUAGCUAAACUGUUUCUUCUGAGAACAAAGUUAUAUAUAUCAGUUUGAUAUACGUUGUAUACGAGAGUAUAUUCUCCCCUCACAAGUGGU
RNAcentral lists this long non-coding RNA (228 nucleotides) under Nicotiana benthamiana. RNAcentral's name for it is "long non-coding RNA (NBEN_LNC027589)". The record is from RNAcentral. Lineage: Eukaryota; Viridiplantae; Streptophyta; Magnoliopsida; Solanales; Solanaceae.